UUAAGCGACUAAGCGUACACGGUGGAUGCCCUGGCAGUCAGAGGCGAUGAAGGACGUGCUAAUCUGCGAUAAGCGUCGGUAAGGUGAUAUGAACCGUUAUAACCGGCGAUUUCCGAAUGGGGAAACCCAGUGUGUUUCGACACACUAUCAUUAACUGAAUCCAUAGGUUAAUGAGGCGAACCGGGGGAACUGAAACAUCUAAGUACCCCGAGGAAAAGAAAUCAACCGAGAUUCCCCCAGUAGCGGCGAGCGAACGGGGAGCAGCCCAGAGCCUGAAUCAGUGUGUGUGUUAGUGGAAGCGUCUGGAAAGGCGUGCGAUACAGGGUGACAGCCCCGUACACAAAAAUGCACAUGCUGUGAGCUCGAUGAGUAGGGCGGGACACGUGGUAUCCUGUCUGAAUAUGGGGGGACCAUCCUCCAAGGCUAAAUACUCCUGACUGACCGAUAGUGAACCAGUACCGUGAGGGAAAGGCGAAAAGAACCCCGGCGAGGGGAGUGAAAAAGAACCUGAAACCGUGUACGUACAAGCAGUGGGAGCACGCUUAGGCGUGUGACUGCGUACCUUUUGUAUAAUGGGUCAGCGACUUAUAUUCUGUAGCAAGGUUAACCGAAUAGGGGAGCCGAAGGGAAACCGAGUCUUAACUGGGCGUUAAGUUGCAGGGUAUAGACCCGAAACCCGGUGAUCUAGCCAUGGGCAGGUUGAAGGUUGGGUAACACUAACUGGAGGACCGAACCGACUAAUGUUGAAAAAUUAGCGGAUGACUUGUGGCUGGGGGUGAAAGGCCAAUCAAACCGGGAGAUAGCUGGUUCUCCCCGAAAGCUAUUUAGGUAGCGCCUCGUGAAUUCAUCUCCGGGGGUAGAGCACUGUUUCGGCAAGGGGGUCAUCCCGACUUACCAACCCGAUGCAAACUGCGAAUACCGGAGAAUGUUAUCACGGGAGACACACGGCGGGUGCUAACGUCCGUCGUGAAGAGGGAAACAACCCAGACCGCCAGCUAAGGUCCCAAAGUCAUGGUUAAGUGGGAAACGAUGUGGGAAGGCCCAGACAGCCAGGAUGUUGGCUUAGAAGCAGCCAUCAUUUAAAGAAAGCGUAAUAGCUCACUGGUCGAGUCGGCCUGCGCGGAAGAUGUAACGGGGCUAAACCAUGCACCGAAGCUGCGGCAGCGACACUAUGUGUUGUUGGGUAGGGGAGCGUUCUGUAAGCCUGUGAAGGUGUGCUGUGAGGCAUGCUGGAGGUAUCAGAAGUGCGAAUGCUGACAUAAGUAACGAUAAAGCGGGUGAAAAGCCCGCUCGCCGGAAGACCAAGGGUUCCUGUCCAACGUUAAUCGGGGCAGGGUGAGUCGACCCCUAAGGCGAGGCCGAAAGGCGUAGUCGAUGGGAAACAGGUUAAUAUUCCUGUACUUGGUGUUACUGCGAAGGGGGGACGGAGAAGGCUAUGUUGGCCGGGCGACGGUUGUCCCGGUUUAAGCGUGUAGGCUGGUUUUCCAGGCAAAUCCGGAAAAUCAAGGCUGAGGCGUGAUGACGAGGCACUACGGUGCUGAAGCAACAAAUGCCCUGCUUCCAGGAAAAGCCUCUAAGCAUCAGGUAACAUCAAAUCGUACCCCAAACCGACACAGGUGGUCAGGUAGAGAAUACCAAGGCGCUUGAGAGAACUCGGGUGAAGGAACUAGGCAAAAUGGUGCCGUAACUUCGGGAGAAGGCACGCUGAUAUGUAGGUGAAGCGACUUGCUCGUGGAGCUGAAAUCAGUCGAAGAUACCAGCUGGCUGCAACUGUUUAUUAAAAACACAGCACUGUGCAAACACGAAAGUGGACGUAUACGGUGUGACGCCUGCCCGGUGCCGGAAGGUUAAUUGAUGGGGUUAGCCGCAAGGCGAAGCUCUUGAUCGAAGCCCCGGUAAACGGCGGCCGUAACUAUAACGGUCCUAAGGUAGCGAAAUUCCUUGUCGGGUAAGUUCCGACCUGCACGAAUGGCGUAAUGAUGGCCAGGCUGUCUCCACCCGAGACUCAGUGAAAUUGAACUCGCUGUGAAGAUGCAGUGUACCCGCGGCAAGACGGAAAGACCCCGUGAACCUUUACUAUAGCUUGACACUGAACAUUGAGCCUUGAUGUGUAGGAUAGGUGGGAGGCUUUGAAGUGUGGACGCCAGUCUGCAUGGAGCCGACCUUGAAAUACCACCCUUUAAUGUUUGAUGUUCUAACGUUGACCCGUAAUCCGGGUUGCGGACAGUGUCUGGUGGGUAGUUUGACUGGGGCGGUCUCCUCCUAAAGAGUAACGGAGGAGCACGAAGGUUGGCUAAUCCUGGUCGGACAUCAGGAGGUUAGUGCAAUGGCAUAAGCCAGCUUGACUGCGAGCGUGACGGCGCGAGCAGGUGCGAAAGCAGGUCAUAGUGAUCCGGUGGUUCUGAAUGGAAGGGCCAUCGCUCAACGGAUAAAAGGUACUCCGGGGAUAACAGGCUGAUACCGCCCAAGAGUUCAUAUCGACGGCGGUGUUUGGCACCUCGAUGUCGGCUCAUCACAUCCUGGGGCUGAAGUAGGUCCCAAGGGUAUGGCUGUUCGCCAUUUAAAGUGGUACGCGAGCUGGGUUUAGAACGUCGUGAGACAGUUCGGUCCCUAUCUGCCGUGGGCGCUGGAGAACUGAGGGGGGCUGCUCCUAGUACGAGAGGACCGGAGUGGACGCAUCACUGGUGUUCGGGUUGUCAUGCCAAUGGCACUGCCCGGUAGCUAAAUGCGGAAGAGAUAAGUGCUGAAAGCAUCUAAGCACGAAACUUGCCCCGAGAUGAGUUCUCCCUGACUCCUUGAGAGUCCUGAAGGAACGUUGAAGACGACGACGUUGAUAGGCCGGGUGUGUAAGCGCAGCGAUGCGUUGAGCUAACCGGUACUAAUGAACCGUGAGGCUUAACCUU
This 2903-nucleotide ribosomal RNA is filed under the name Escherichia coli. RNAcentral's name for it is "bacterial LSU rRNA". It matches the Rfam family "Bacterial large subunit ribosomal RNA". The record is from RNAcentral. Lineage: Bacteria; Pseudomonadati; Pseudomonadota; Gammaproteobacteria; Enterobacterales; Enterobacteriaceae. RNAcentral also lists the same sequence under 4 other names.